AUUUGAAAAGGGUUUGAAAAGGGUUAGAAUUGAGGAAGUUGUCAAAGGGUAGCAGAGUAAGAGGGGACCAGUGUCAGGGGCUGCCGCUGGCUCUCUAGGGGAUUCUGGUGAGGGGAUGGCAUGGAAGCUCAAUGAUCAGGCCAUUAGCUGGGAUUGAACUCAAGACCUUGCGCUUGUGAGGCAGGCACAAUGCCACUGAGCACCCAGACUGGUGAGUAGAGCCACAAAGGUAUGUGAAUAUAUUUCUAUAUUUUAUAACUAUGCAUGUAUCUUAAUUAUUUUUCUUGUUGCUGCGACAAAAUACCUGACACUCACAAGUUAAAGGAGGAAAAGUUUAUUUCAAGUCACAGUUUGUCGAGGUUUUAGUCCAUAGUUGAUUGGCUCCAAGGCAGGGUAGCAUGCUAGAUAGUCAUGGCAGAGGAGAAACAGUCCAAGGCAGGUCAGGCAGGGAGCAAUGAAGUAAGCCUCUCAUUCCCUUUUAUCCCAACCAGGCUACAAGCCUUCUGGGUGGUGCCACCUACUCCCAGGGUAGGCCUUUCCAUUAUCCAUAUCCAGAACUAUGCUAAACCAAUUAGUGGGCUAAUCCAUUACCACACACCCUUAAUCCCAGUAUCACAUACCCUAGAUCAGUCGUGGCAAAAUUAUGGCAUGUGUGCCACAGCAGGCACACAGAGCCCUCUCCAUCAGCACGCAAGCCAAGUUGCCCCAGCAGCCAAGCAUCAGAUAACAGUUGUUUUUUUCUAAACUAAAACCUCAGUAUUCAAGUUUAAUUGCAGUGUUGGCACUUUGUGAUAAAUAAGUAGGUUUUGUGUUGCAGUUUGGACACUCAGUCUCUAAAAGGUUUGCCAUUAUUGCCCUAGAUCCAGCCGGCUCCAAAAACCCCACCUAUGAGCCCAUGAGGCUUUAGGGGGACAUCUAGAUGCAAACCAUUGUAUAUAUAUUUCUAUCUAUUCC
Molecule: long non-coding RNA, 954 nt
Organism: Heterocephalus glaber (naked mole-rat)
Lineage: Eukaryota; Metazoa; Chordata; Mammalia; Rodentia; Bathyergidae
Source: Ensembl